Non-coding RNA from Picea glauca (white spruce), 119 nucleotides. Lineage: Eukaryota; Viridiplantae; Streptophyta; Pinopsida; Pinales; Pinaceae. The record is from Rfam.
GGGUGCGAUCAUACCAGCGUUAAUGCACCGGAUCCCCUCAGAACUCCGCAGUUAAGCGCGCUUGGGCUAGAGUAGUACUGGGAUGGGUGACCUCCCGGGAGGUCCUGGUGUUGCACCCU